Molecule: long non-coding RNA, 4178 nt
Organism: Alligator mississippiensis (American alligator)
Lineage: Eukaryota; Metazoa; Chordata; Crocodylia; Alligatoridae
Exons: 5
Source: RefSeq, a predicted model, not a curated record
UUACCAUCUUGCAAAGCACUUACCCCGUGGAUGACAAAUGAUAUGGGCAGAUUAUUAUAAUGUGCACAAUGCAUGUAGGAGAACAAGGAGGGUGGGUGUGCUAUAGAUGAAUACAGUCACAGGACAGAGAGAGUGCUGUGCUCACUUUCACUCGACUAACAACUGGCACUGCAAGCAACACCUGAAAGCCCCUUUUUGUGGGUGGCUCAUCGUAGAGGAGAAGUCAGUGAAAGCUACUGGGUGCUCAGCACCUUGGAAAACCAGUCCACUUACAUGCCUACAUGCAGAUUUUGAAGCCCUACUGGAAGCACAGGAUUUUUUUAUUUUGUUUUUCGCUUAAAGAUCAUAUUGUUUGGGGAGGGUUUUUUUAUUUUGUUUUUAAAUUGUGACCUUCUUGCUUUUCUUUUUUAAAAGAUAUUUCCAGAACUCUGCAGAUUCAUGAACCUCAUUUCUCCCUGUGAUCGCCAAACUUUCCGGUGGGCAAUCAGGGGGACAUCUACCAGCAUCCUGGCAGCUUACCACUCCCAUUACCUGACUAACUCCGUGGGGCAGUGCUGAGUGAGCAGAGACUCCUGCCCCUCAGACUGAGCUUUCUUUCUAACACUGCCAAACCCUGGUAGCCUGGAAGAACUGCAAAUAAGAGCAGGAAAGUUCCUAGGCUUUCUACAUAGUGACAGAGAUUACUAAAGACUCUGGGACAUCAAAGUUUGUUUUCUUUUUCUUCUAAGACUUACAGUGGCAUAUAAAUCUGAUAGGAUGCUAAUUUUAAAGAAAGAAAUGGCUAUACAUUGUCUUUUCUCUCUUUCCCGCCCCCCCUCCACCCCCAUCAUUUUGGUUGGUGCACUGCCAACCUGUGUACCAUACAAAAGGGGUCACUUGUAGUAAACCUUUAUUUACAGCUGAUUUUAUUCCUUCCCUGUAGGACUGAAGACUGGUUAGCAAGCUACUGCAUGUUUAAAUGAGGGAUGAGAUCACAGAAUGGGUACAAUGACGGUGGUGAAAUUUUGUUGCUUUCUACCUCUGACUACUUCACCACACCACUCGUUUUUAGAGAAAAUGCCGCAAAAUUGCUUUAGUCAGUCAUUCUUCAUCUUGAUGGCUGGCCUUUAUAAUAGGAUGGAUUUCCACUGCUUUAUCACCUUCCUCCUUAUUUUAAAGCUCUGGGGUUAUUUAUAUUGUACAGCUUAUGUCUAUUUUCAAAUAGUUUUACAAUUCAGCUGUAUGUUGGCAGAGCUAAAUAUGAGCUCUCCUCAUACGAAAACAGAAAUGUAUUUUAUCUAAAGAAUUUAUAUAAUGUCAACAGUCUGUCUCAGUGCAGCCAGAGAGGCUUAAAAAAUGACUAGCAAUCCCUUUUUUCCACCUCAGAGCCCAUGUCUGCGCACUGGAUAAAUCCCAUCAGUGUUUGGGGUAUAUAAUAUCAUUGUUUUAGAAUCAAUGGUGAAUUUAUGUGGUGCUAAUCUCUGUCCUUUGUUCAAACAAACUCAGCAAAUUUCAGCAGCAUAAUGCAUUCAGUGUUUUCAUCGGUGGAUUUACGUAAUGAAUGAGGUGCUCUCUACACCUCAGCCUACCGCAUUACAAGACAGAGAGAGAUAUCGAGAGUGAGGAAGUAGAAACAACAACAGGGCUGGAAUUUUACAGCUGCUGAGUAAUGGUACCUAGCUUUCUUCUUCUGUAGAUCAAAAAGCACUCCACAGAGGAGGGAGAAUGCAAGCUAUGAAGACAGAGAUAAGAUCAAGGCCUAUUCUGACAGAGCUGGAGGAGUGAAGAAGGUAUAAUGAGGAGGCUGCAAUGGACAUGGCAAAGGCAGAGGCAAUAGAGAAGUGUUGCCAGGCAGAAGGGGUUACCUGCGGUAGGUGGGAGAAGUGUGCACUGCUCAAGAGCUCUAUGAAUGCUUCAGGGUGAUUCCAGUCCUGCCAGCUGGUCGAGGCAUCUCAGAUGGUCACUACCUUUAGUACCAGGCAACCCUGAGAGAGUCAGAAGAGCCAGCACUCCAGUACCCAAGCAACAAAUGAGCCUGCAUUCCAGAUUUUAAAAAGCUUUUAGAGGAAAGAAGGGCAGGCUGCUGCAGAGUCAGCAGCAGAACAAAAUCAGAGCGCCCAUACCCCAGCUGCUGUCAUCCAAAGCACUGGCAUGCUGGAAGUCAGCACUACUCACACCACAGGACAGAGAAUAGGAUGUUAAAUUGCUGUUAAACGCCCAGAGAUCAACAGACUGCCUUUCACUGGGUGAUCUUUUUAUCAAGACAAAGGAAAAACAGUAUCUUUCACCUGUCUGGAAUUUAUUAAAGCAUCUACAACGUAACCACAUGGAACAAUGAAGGAACUGACCAGCAGGAAGACAGCAACAGGAAAUGCUGGAAGGGGAAGUAUUGGUGGUGAAGCAGGAUGAUUACCAGAGUGUCUAAAGCAGAGGUGGGCAAAAUUCAGCUUGCAGGCUGCGUCUGGCCUGCAAAGGGAUUUUUGCCCAGCCCACAAUGCGGUGGCCAGACUCUAUUUUCUGGCAGCCCUAGUAGCGGCAACUCCUAUGACUGCCUCUUCUGGACCUGGGCACACUGGGCACACCGCCUCAUAGGUGCUGACUUUUAUUUUUGCCAGGGGGAGGCCUAAAAUGAUGCCCCUUUGCCCCCUUGUGGCAUGGCCGAAGCAGAGCCAAAUGGAGCCUGUGGGGGUUGCAUACAGGCUGGUGCCCACUGCAGGCUUGGGGCUUCCCACCCUGCUGCUCUUCCCCUGGGAGCCCCAUGCUGGCCAUACCACCAUUGUGAGGUGUCCCCUGCCUGCCCAACUGCAGUGGGGGGCACAACUCUGCACCACUGCCCCAUGGCUUCUGGGUGGGCAAGGGGAGCCUUGCCAUGGCAGUGAGGCUGAUGUGGGGCUCCCGGGGGAGGGAAGCAACCCGCAUCUGCCUCUGCCCUAUGCACAAAUCUGUGCCCCCCCCCCACGCAUGUCCUCUUCCCUGGAGUGUGCACAGCAGCAGGUAGCCUCCCCCCACCCUCUGCCCCUUGGAUAAGCCAUCUGUGGCUCUGUCCUAUUCCCCACCCCAGCCCCAAUCCCCAUGUACCGUCCUGGGUGGGCAGCUCCCCCAGGCUCAGCCCCUGUCCCACUCCCUCCCUUACCAUGGGGGCCUCAAUCUGCCCUCUCCCAUAGAUUUACCUGCAGACAGCUGGGGGAGCUGAGGCUCUCCACCACUGCCUGGGGCCGUAUUCCUGGCCCCAUGCAGCGUGGAGCCAGGGCCCAGGGAAGAGCUGCAAUCUGCUACCCACACACCCCUAUGACAAGCACUGGUUCUGUAGUCAGGGACAUGCAAGGAACAGAUCGCGCCUCUGACCCCGACCUCAGGCUGUCACUGUCCCAAAAUCCAGGCCCCACCCGCCCACGCACCCCGCCUGAGCAACUUCCAGCUGUCCUCCAUGGCCAUCCACCUUUAGUCACAUGAGCAGACUGCAGACUUUAGUUUGGGAAUAUUUUGUUAUCACCUCUGCUGCUUUUGUAUCAUACAUUUAAAAAAAUAAAUAACUGUAAAUAAGUUAGUAGAGGACUACAAAAAUACACCCACAGAAAAGAAGUCAUAACCCAUGAAAACUUUCUUUUUGGAAUCCAGAAUGGAUGACUACUCUUAAAAAUGUAUCCUUUUAUUUCAUUAAUUGCACAAGCAUCCAUUUUCUGCUUGUGUGUGUAGUAAAAAGACGUUAGCCCCCAUAAUUUUGCAGUAAUGCUUGAGCAACAACCAUAUGAUAGAAGUGUCUUAUGACCAUCUUAUGACCCUUUUGUGUAAAGAUCAGGAGGUCUAAUGUCCAAGCUGUGGUUCUUACUGCUUGCCUUGCAUUUUGAAAUCAUCUCUGUCCAGUGCCUUAAGGUUACGUUAAGAUAAGAAGUUACUAAAGUUUAACUAACUUUGUUGAAAUUGCUCUUUUCUUCUGAGCAUGCUGCAAUUCUACCUUUGAGUGCGCACGUACUAACCCUGAUAAGUCACAUUAACCAAUAACUAGUUAAGUACAGCCUACAAGAUAAGACGUCACAAUUAGGAACUGGUACUGCAGCCAAUAAACUUCUAGUACGUCAAGACUCUGUUGAAUGUAAGCUAUAAAAAUGUGAUUCCAGCCGGACUCAUCGUCGGCCCUGAUUUGAGCUCUCUGCUCCUCGGUCGAACUGUUUGCAAACAAUAAACCUAGAUGGACCCAG